RNAcentral lists this ribosomal RNA (1211 nucleotides) under Salmonella enterica. RNAcentral describes it as "partial 23S ribosomal RNA". It matches the Rfam family "Bacterial large subunit ribosomal RNA", at positions 711 to 1821 of the family's 2925-position model. Lineage: Bacteria; Pseudomonadati; Pseudomonadota; Gammaproteobacteria; Enterobacterales; Enterobacteriaceae. The record is from RNAcentral.
AGACCCGAAACCCGGUGAUCUAGCCAUGGGCAGGUUGAAGGUUGGGUAACACUAACUGGAGGACCGAACCGACUAAUGUUGAAAAAUUAGCGGAUGACCUGUGGCUGGGGGUGAAAGGCCAAUCAAACCGGGAGAUAGCUGGUUCUCCCCGAAAGCUAUUUAGGUAGCGCCUCGUGAAUUCAUCUCCGGGGGUAGAGCACUGUUUCGGCUAGGGGGCCAUCCCGGCUUACCAACCCGAUGCAAACUGCGAAUACCGGAGAAUGUUAUCACGGGAGACACACGGCGGGUGCUAACGUCCGUCGUGAAGAGGGAAACAACCCAGACCGCCAGCUAAGGUCCCAAAGUCAUGGUUAAGUGGGAAACGAUGUGGGAAGGCCCAGACAGCCAGGAUGUUGGCUUAGAAGCAGCCAUCAUUUAAAGAAAGCGUAAUAGCUCACUGGUCGAGUCGGCCUGCGCGGAAGAUGUAACGGGGCUAAACCAUGCACCGAAGCUGCGGCAGCGAACGUAUCACUUAAAGCGAUUCAGCGGGUUACGACUGACGGAGCGAAGCGACGUCAAAGCGUAUACAAAGUCGAGUCGGUUUAAGGAUACGUUCGUUGGGUAGGGGAGCGUUCUGUAAGCCUGCGAAGGUGGCCUGUGAGGGUUGCUGGAGGUAUCAGAAGUGCGAAUGCUGACAUAAGUAACGAUAAAGCGGGUGAAAAGCCCGCUCGCCGGAAGACCAAGGGUUCCUGUCCAACGUUAAUCGGGGCAGGGUGAGUCGACCCCUAAGGCGAGGCCGAAAGGCGUAGUCGAUGGGAAACGGGUUAAUAUUCCCGUACUUGGUGUUACUGCGAAGGGGGGACGGAGAAGGCUAUGUUGGCCGGGCGACGGUUGUCCCGGUUUAAGCGGGUAGGUGUGUGUUCCAGGUAAAUCCGGUUCACUUUAACACUGAGGCGUGACGACGAGGCACUACGGUGCUGAAGCAACAAAUGCCCUGCUUCCAGGAAAAGCCUCUAAGCAUCAGGUAACAUCAAAUCGUACCCCAAACCGACACAGGUGGUCAGGUAGAGAAUACCAAGGCGCUUGAGAGAACUCGGGUGAAGGAACUAGGCAAAAUGGUGCCGUAACUUCGGGAGAAGGCACGCUGACACGUAGGUGAAGUGGUUUACUCACGGAGCUGAAGUCAGUCGAAGAUACCAGCUGGCUGCAACUGUUUAUUAAAAACACAGCAC